CCUUGACCUUUGACCUCAGCUAUGAGGAGCGAGCCCGAUACCUGGAGACCAUCGUGCAGCACCACCAGGAGCCAACCACCUUCGAAGAUUACGCAGCUCGAGUGUACAGCCCGGCUCCCUGCACUCACCUGCCCUCUGACUCAGAUCGUUUUGUCUCACUUGCCUAUAGCUAAAAGGCUCCUGCCUCGAGAUUCUUCGGGGAGAAAGUCCGGCUCUUGGGGAGGCCGGGAGCGACUCGGCGUCCCCCAUGUCGCCUCGGACUAGCAAGAGCCGCAUGUCCAUGAAGCUGCGACGCUCCUCCGGAUCGGCCAAUAAGACUUAAAGCCCUCACUGUAACUUUAUUUUGAAAAUGGCUGUGUAUAUCCUUGCAGUUGCUCCAGCAUGCUGACCUUUGCCACAGUAGAAACAAGUGCAGUAUUAGUUUAUAAUAAUCUGUGCAAUUUUAGAAAAGGGUUCAAGCAUGUUCACAGAGGAAUAAAAGCAUAGGUUGCUAUCUGUAUAUUUGUACUAUAGUUAGUCCAUGUGUGCGCAGACAGAACCACGAGUUUUGAUAUAUAAAAAAAAAAAAAAGAUCAGAACGUGUGCAUCUGUAGUGUUGCAUGGAGGAAGCAAGAUAAAAGUAUAUUUUUGUUCUCAGCACAGCUUUAGGCUUGAGUCGGUUUCUAUUGGUAUGAAUUGUAUAUAGAAACUCAUUCAUUUGCUUACAAUGAAAGAAAGAUGUUUUGUUGUGGAUGCUUUAAAGCCAAAAGGUGAAGAGAAUCAGUGUUACAUAGUUGAAUUAUUCGUCAAAAUAGAACACAAGAGGCAGCACUUCCAUUUAGUUUUGUUUUGCUUAUGCUGUAAAAUGUGGACAAGCACUGAUGAUUUUUUUCUUGAAAUGUGUUUGGACCCGAACAAGAACAAUGCUGUAUUUUAUUUGUCACUUUGUCAUCUGAUGCAAUGGAACCACAGCUAUUAUUUUUGUUCCUAUAUUCUGUAUAUCUAUAUAUGUAUGAGUAUAGAUAUAUAUAGUAGCUAUAUGAACAUCUAAUGGGAUGUGUACAGUGGGUGUAUAUACUGAGAGUAGCUGCCAAAGACCUCCGACCGGGUAUCUGCUUAAAAUGGAUAGACACUACAAGAUUUCAUUUAUUUUUUACAUUUGCAAGGCAAUUUAAUUUCAGUCCAAGGACUCUUCUUUACUUCAAUGUUGCCACAUUGGGGAAGUUUUAGGCCAUAAUUGUCCUCGUUUUUCAUUGAGUAUAUAAUGUACGGAAGAGGAUUAGUGCCACAUGUGAAAACAUUUUUUGAGAUCGGACCUAAAGAGAUUUAUUUUCUUUUGUUCUGACUUUAAAAUAAAAAUAUUGAGAUUCAAUUCAGAAUUCUGAGAUCAAAUUCAGAAACAAAAUCUGCAUUCUGAGAAAAUGUAUUGAAUUCUAUGAAAAAAAGUUCUGAGAUUAAAAUCAGAAUUCUUAGAGUACAUUUAGAAUUUCUGGGAAAAUGUCAGAAUUCUGAGAUUAAUUUAAGACUUCUUAAAAAAUCUGAAAACCUUUCCCUCAUGUGGCUCUAAUCCUCUUCUGUGCUUUGUGGCAGGUUUUGUUAUUGAAAAGAUAACCUCAACACCUUAGUGGUUUAAAGGUGGAAACAGUGUGUAUAAAGGAGAGAUAGUGUACAGCCAAAGGGGGGGAAGCAAAGAUACUUAUUUAGAUAUGAAUCCUUACGUUAUUUUUCUUUUUAUAACUCCACUCUUAUAUUGAGACUCAUCCCCCUGCUCCAUUCUUGACGAAGGGGACCCAAAUGUAAUCACAAUCUAUAACAAGUAACACUAUCACUUAUGUUUUUAACAUCCUUAUUUCAGCACUCCGUCAGUUAGCUCUACUAAAAAGGGAAUUGUCUAACAUUGUUUAAGGUUUUUCUUUAGCUGCUGUUCCUCCAUUUAUUUUACAUGAUGGCUUCUUCUGUAUUUAAACUCAAGUUUAUUUGAUGUUACUGUUUUUAUUUCAGCCCUAGAUUCUCCGUAGAAAUGAAAGGGAUUGUUACACUUUUUGCACCUCUGUGUGUGGUGAAUAUAACUUUAUUCGUGAAUAUUUGAAUUCUGCUGAACUCUGAGUUGGCCCUUUAAAUUAUUGCUGUUACAAUAAUUAUUAUUAUUGCUGAGGUUGGAGCACCAUUGAUUGGUGGUCACUCUGAUCUGUUCAUGCUGUACCUCUCACUCCAUCCUGAUUGGAAACGCCGAGUCUCACACUCCCUUUGGAUUAAACAUACCUGUGCUUGAUUAUGAGCUAUGGUGCUGCUUUCAAAAGCCCAUGGAGAAGAUGGGACAUUUCCGAUUUAGUUUUACAGAUUGUAAAUAAUACGGAGGAUUAUAGUGUUUCAUAAUGACCUCGAAAUGAUUUGCUAAAACGUAACUAAACGUAAUUAGCAGCAACCAAAAUGUAUUCAAACAAAUGAUUAACCUUUCAUCAUUACAAACUAUUCAUAGAAACUUUCCUGCUGUUUAUCUGGAGCAUUUUGACUCUGAAAGUCUACAGAUAAAGGAUUAAGGCCACAUGUGGAAAUGUAUUUCUGAGAAGAAUUGAAGAUUAAAAAACAAAACACAUUUGUACUUUUUGGAAUUGUGAAUAAUCUCAAUAUUAAAAAAUGUUUCAAUGCGACCCUAAACCAAACUUUGCUUGUCUAUAAAUAAGGGGUAAAACAUUCAGAUUACAUUAUUUUCCUUUAUAUAUAACAUUCGGAAAGCUCUGUGGCCUGUUGUCCAGAGUGCAUGUAACUACUGACUGUACAUACUGCAUGACACCAGCUCAGCACUUUCUGCAUGUGUUGAUCAUGUAACAGCUGUAUUACGCUCAAACACACACACACACACACUCCAUGUCACACCUGUACUAUGUAAACCUGUAACGUCUCUUUUGGACACAGACAGAGAACGUGGAUGUGCGAUGAUGGGAUUUGACAAUAAAUGAUUCGUACCACUUGC
Molecule: long non-coding RNA, 2953 nt
Organism: Notothenia coriiceps (black rockcod)
Lineage: Eukaryota; Metazoa; Chordata; Actinopteri; Perciformes; Nototheniidae
Exons: 3
Source: RefSeq, a predicted model, not a curated record